UCAGCCUGACCCGGGCACGUUCACAGGACUUGGACUGCUUUCAAAACCUUCCCAGGGACAAAGGCAGAAACCAAACAGACAAAACACAGGAAGCCGAAUCCAUGAGGAGAGAGGGAGGUGAUGAAUGGUCCGCCCCUCCAUGCUCCUCUCCAAGGAGGAUGACUGUAUCCUCCUGUGGGAGCAAGCAGCCUUGCGGAGCGCCAUUCAUGUGUCUCGCAGACAGCCAAUGGAAGCGCGGGGAUUUGGUUCAUAUGCGAGUUUACUGGGUCGGAGUCGGAGCAACAGGGGAGGCGGCGGCCAAUCGGAAGGGCCCGCAACAACUGGGCUGUGUGUUGCUUUUCCAGCCCAGGGAGCCUUAUCUAUGCAGGCCUCCUGAGAAAACGUCGAGACAGAGAGCGUGAAAACUGCACAGUGUACGCCUGGCGAACGUAUCAACAGGGUGAAGCAGCGUUAAAGGCAAACAUCUGAUGACUUUAACAAAUUCAACAAAUGAAAAUAAGUUGGUCGGUAAGACAAUUUCAAUGUUCUACAGCCAAAUGAGUGUAAUCGAGCAAGCUGCUUGCGGGGUGUAGAUGGCACAGAUAGCCUGAAUUUGGUGAAAGUGAUUCAGUCUCCUCAGCUAAAGAAGGACUCCGCGCCAGGCUCAAUGUGGCAGACAGAUGAGUCACGAAGAGUCCCGGAGCUGCACGACAGGCUGUGAAGACGACAGCCAGGAGAGGCGCAGCGAGAGGUUGGACAAAAGGGGAGGACACGAUCGACGAGGGGGGAGAACACCUGUCUGCUUCUUAGAGGAUUUUCUCUUUGAAAGUUUUUUUUUUUUUUUUUUCCCACCCAUGAUGUCAUCUUUAUCCAUUGGCACUUACUUUUGUCUAUGGAAAACAAUGCAUUUCGCUGGCGUCGGGCAGAAUUCUCGCAUCUCUCGAACCAUAACUUUUCAGGAAAACAAUGACCAAAAAAACGGAAUGUUUGUUGAGCCAUUAACAUUGCGUCAUCAAAGAGAGCAAGCCAUUUUCAAGACUUGAGUCAAUCAUUUGUAAAUGUACAUUUCAAAGUCUGUACUUACUUUUUUUUUUUUAUUUGCACUUCUACUUAAGUACCGAGUGUGAGUAAUGUAUGCAUUUUUAUAUUUUUCUCCUCCCCCCACCCCUUAUUUUCUAAUCAGUUGUUUAAAUUGUUUCCCUCUUCUGUGCCGCCCGAUCCGUAGUGAUUGCAUCACUGCCGGAGCUUUGUUUGAGCCUCAUUGGAUUUCAUAACUGUUGUUUGGGACUUUUUACCUCAUUAUGUCUGCAUGGAGGGUGGGGUGACUUUUCUGCAUGAGCGUGCAUAUGUGAGAAUGCGAUUAUGUGCGCUCGUGUGUGUCUGCUCCUUCUAAUCUUAGGGGAAUGUGAAUACGCGUGUUUCUCUCCAGCCUAUGGGCCAACCCAACCGAGGAUUCCCCGCAGGACUAACACACCCUGAAAGCCCCCGUCACAUUUCCCCUGUCUAGCUACCUUUCUUCCUCCCCACACACACAGACAGACAUACACACACAAACACACAGCCUCCCUUUGCCCCUCCUUUUGCCCUCUUUAACCACGACACUUUGAAUCAAGCAGAAAUUAAUGCAGAUGAUGCAUUCACUGUCUCAUUGUCUCCUUCACUCGGCAGAUGGAUAUCGAGAUGACAGCGACAUGGGGAAAACUCCCGAUGUAAAGCUUUUAGGGGCGCUGCGGGGUGUUUGUGCUUCCUGUUAGUGCAAAUGGAAAUAUGUAUUUAGAAGUCCUCAACUAUGGGC
Phyllopteryx taeniolatus (common seadragon) is the source of this 1774-nucleotide long non-coding RNA. RefSeq lists it as uncharacterized. The record is from RefSeq and is a predicted model, not a curated record. The transcript has 3 exons. NCBI's taxonomy places the organism in Eukaryota, Metazoa, Chordata, Actinopteri, Syngnathiformes, Syngnathidae.